CUCUCUCUCCCUUUAACCCCUCCCUUUGUCUAUCUUUACCCAAAUUCCCUCUUUCUCAACCAAACAAAAUCUAUGCAUCUUUCUCUACCUCUCUCACUUCUCUCAGAUUUGAGAUUUUCUUUCUUUUUUUCUUGGAAAAACACCCAUGCAUCAGAUUUGAGAAACACCAAUGCCUUCACAUCUCUCUCUAUCUCAAUCGAUCCGUCUCUCCCUCUCGUUGCAUCUCACGCUCAGAUCCCAACUGUCUGUCGUUUGAGAAAGAACUUGAAGAAAUGUAGGAGAAGCUUCAGGCAAUGAGGCUUUAGAAGGAGAAACCGAGAAGCUCCUUAAGAAGGAGGAGAUCUUGAAGAUCAAGAAGGAAAAGCUCCAAACAAAGGGCUAAGAGCAAGACAAGCUUCAGAUGGAGUUGAAGAAGCUGCAGGAGUUCAAACUUGUCGAGUUGGUGAAGCCUGAGAUCGGAUCUAAGAUUCUAAGGAAGCACCAUCGUCUUCACUGUUCCUCAGAUCAAUGCCAUAAAGAGUGCAACAAAGACAUAAUCCAAUCUAUAAAGUUGUUUGUUUACAUUCUUUGAUCAGGAGCUGCUAAUCAGUUAUUAACACAACUUUAUAGUGUUGGGUAUUUAUGGACUUAUCAUUGUUGUGAUCAUCAGUACCUGUAUGGCUAUCUAGCUUGUGGCCUUGCUAGUCUCUUUACCGGUAUGGCUAUCGGCAGUGUCGAUGAUGUCGGUGUUAGGUAAUAUCUCUCUCUCUUUGAAAGGAUUGGCCUUGCUCUUGCUAAGGGUGUAGAUAUCAUAUCUCUUCAAUUGUUUCUUAAUUUAUUUUUUGCAAUUGCUCAUUUGAUAAAUUAUUUAGCUACAUAUAUCGGAGUCAUGAUAUGAUGGCCAUUUUCAGGUGAACAUUUUUUAGUAUUAUUUUAGAUAGUAUACAAUACCAAAUAAUGUAUUGAAAUUUGAUAUUCUGAGUUGUAUUUGUCAGAUUGUAAAUUAGCAUGAAGCUACAAGUAGCAACAUUGUCAGGCACAAUGAGUUUAAUCUUCAAACACUUGGAAUUGGUGGCCUAGGUGCUGAGUUUGCAGAUAUAUUUUGAAGAGCUUUUGCAUCCCAUGUUUCCCUCCUCAUGUGACAAAUAAGUAAGAUAACUGAUUCUUCUAGUUGCACUGAUAUCUUUUUGGUAUAACUUUAUACCACACUCCUUACUAGAAAUACUUUGAUCUUCCAGAUAAGGGAUCAAGCAUGUAAAGGGUAUGCUGGGCCACCUGGUACUUUAAAAAUUCUCAUGGCUUGUCAAAUUGGAAAGAUGUUGAACAAGAAAGAACCAAAGAUUUGGAGUUUGAUCCACCUUUUUCUUUAAUUAUUAAAUUUCUGAGAGUUCCAAAUCUCUUAGGACUAAGAUUUGUUCUGUUCAUUUGAAUGAUUACUUUUCUAUGUUUCAGCUGUAAUUUCAAAUAAGACUUACCAAUUGAUGACACAUGAAACUAAGAUAAAAUUAAGAACUAGAUACUCAUUGUCACAAUCUUGUAUUCUUAUUUUUCAUAACAGGCUAGGUAAUGAAUCGAUUAAAUUCUGCCAGCUGUAAACAUUGAACCAUGCCGAAUCAUGAUUUAACACAACAUUUUGAUGCUAGUACAUUAUUGUAACAAAGCUAUUUGAGCAUGUUUGAAUGAUUCUGGAUAUGCAACUUAUCCUUAGAUAAGUUAGUUAUUAUCUGCAUUGGUGAUUGAUGAGAUUUCUAUUUUUGUGAACUGUGCUAGAUUGUUAAUGGCCAUGAAGUUUUGAGCAAGUUGGUGAAACUGAGAAAAAUGUUAGGAAUCUAUCUGCUAAUGCUGAGAAUGAUCAAAGGGCUCGCG
Molecule: non-coding RNA, 1845 nt
Organism: Malus domestica (apple)
Lineage: Eukaryota; Viridiplantae; Streptophyta; Magnoliopsida; Rosales; Rosaceae
Source: RefSeq, a predicted model, not a curated record